This 77-nucleotide transfer RNA is filed under the name Oscillospiraceae bacterium. Its description in RNAcentral is "tRNA-Ile". It matches the Rfam family "tRNA". Rfam says of the family: Transfer RNA (tRNA) molecules are approximately 80 nucleotides in length. The record is from RNAcentral. Lineage: Bacteria; Bacillati; Bacillota; Clostridia; Eubacteriales; Oscillospiraceae.
GGGCCCUUAGCUCAGUUGGUUAGAGCAUCCGGCUCAUAACCGGGCGGUCCCGGGUUCAAGUCCCUGAGGGCCCACCA